UACGUAGGGCGCAAGCGUUGUCCGGAAUUAUUGGGCGUAAAGAGCUCGUAGGCGGCUUGUCGCGUCGGAUGUGAAAGCCCGGGGCUUAACCCCGGGUCUGCAUUCGAUACGGGCAGGCUAGAGUUCGGUAGGGGAGAUCGGAAUUCCUGGUGUAGCGGUGAAAUGCGCAGAUAUCAGGAGGAACACCGGUGGCGAAGGCGGAUCUCUGGGCCGAUACUGACGCUGAGGAGCGAAAGCAUGGGGAGCAAAAGGG
Molecule: ribosomal RNA, 253 nt
Filed under: uncultured bacterium
Lineage: Bacteria
Description: partial 16S ribosomal RNA
Rfam family: Bacterial small subunit ribosomal RNA
Source: RNAcentral